UACGUAGGGGGCUAGCGUUGUCCGGAUUUAUUGGGCGUAAAGAGCGUGUAGGCGGCCAGGUAGGUCUGCUGUGAAAACUGGAGGCUCAACCUCCAGCCUGCAGUGGGUACGGGCAGACUAGAGUGCGGUAGGGGAGAUUGGAAUUCCUGGUGUAGCGGUGGAAUGCGCAGAUAUCAGGAGGAACACCGAUGGCGAAGGCAGAUCUCUGGGCCGUAACUGACGCUGAGGAGCGAAAGCAUGGGGAGCGAACAGG
RNAcentral lists this ribosomal RNA (253 nucleotides) under uncultured bacterium. RNAcentral describes it as "partial 16S ribosomal RNA". It matches the Rfam family "Bacterial small subunit ribosomal RNA", at positions 524 to 776 of the family's 1533-position model. The record is from RNAcentral.